This 1135-nucleotide long non-coding RNA is filed under the name Carassius auratus (goldfish). RNAcentral describes it as "lncRNA (ENSCARG00000022186.1)". Lineage: Eukaryota; Metazoa; Chordata; Actinopteri; Cypriniformes; Cyprinidae. The record is from RNAcentral.
GGAUGGGCGCUUUUUAUUUAACCUCUUUUGGACUGAUGCAUGCAACAUUAAACAACUUGAGAGAUCAAAGACAAUUUUUAUUAUAACUCCGACAGGAUUCGUCUAAAAAAAAGUUAUAUACACAUAGGAUGACUUGAGGGUGAGUAAUUCAUGGGCUUAUUUUCAUUUUUGGGUGAACUAACCCUUUAAACCUAUGAAUACUCUACAGAAAACAAACUAUUAACAAGGCAAAAUCUAAAAUUAAUGGACUUUCUGUGAUGACGCAUUUCCACAAUUAUUAACAUUGUAUAGCAAAGUAAAUAUUUUCAUUUUGUGUUUUCUUACCUUGGCAUUAAAUUGCAUACUAUAAAUACUUAACACCAUUUCAAAAGCUGGCAAAUAUAACACAUUUCAUUCAUUUGACCAAAGUACCCUAAUCAAUCACUCAGAGAUUUUUUUUCUUUGUCCAGGGCACAAAAUAGUGAGGUCUACCAAUAUUUGGCAAUAGGCCUACUAUGAAAUAAUUUUAAGUUUCAAGAUGACUGCAGUAGUUAUAUAUAAAAGACAUGGAAGUAAUAUAAGACAUAUGAACAGCACCAGCAUGUUGGUUUUUAGACAAUGGUCAGAUUUCAUUUCAUUAUAGGCCUAUAAAAAAUACUGAAAAAAAAAAAAAACCAGAAUCCAGCUUUUGCUUAAGAUGUGGCCAGCAUUGCGCGCAUAAUAAAUAAAUAAAUACAUUUACAGAGCAUCAUCGUUGCAUUUAUGGUAAAUAUUUUAAAAAACAAAGUCUGUCCAUAUAACAUCAAUUAGGCACAACUUGCACAACCGCAUUGAGGGAAACACUGAAAGGGCAUGUUGGUUUAUCCCGACGGCGUUAGGACCUUCCAGGAGCGUCGAGCUGUAUCUGUGGAUUGGGAUGCAUCCUGCUCGCCGUUUCGCUACAAUGUCAGGAGCACGCCUGAUUUUUCUCAUCGCUUCCUGUAUAAUGUUUUUCCAUUCUGGAAAUGCUCAACUGGGAGAGUCUAGAUUUCAUGAUAGACCUUAUGAAGUCCUGCUGAGGCAAAAUCUGGUUCUUCUAAUAAGUGUUCUGUGCACACUGCUGGUGGUCAUGAUUGGAAUGGCAGUGUGUGUCUACAAACCCCUUCGACGCAGGUGA